GCGGGGAUAGCUCAGUUGGUAGAGCGCUAGCCUUCCAAGCUGGAUGUCGCGGGUUCGAAUCCCGUUCCCCGCUCGA
This 76-nucleotide transfer RNA is filed under the name Bacillota bacterium. Its description in RNAcentral is "Firmicutes bacterium (hot springs metagenome) tRNA-Gly". It matches the Rfam family "tRNA". From Rfam's summary of the family: Transfer RNA (tRNA) molecules are approximately 80 nucleotides in length. Their secondary structure includes four short double-helical elements and three loops (D, anti-codon, and T loops). Lineage: Bacteria; Bacillati; Bacillota. The record is from RNAcentral.